GCUCUGACAAGCGCACUGUUCAUUCACAUCGCCUGCCUGCCCGCUGCUGCCAUUUGCUCGCAGCCCUGAUUAGCAUGGGCCACAACAAAAUGCACCACUUGGAGUGGCUGAUGGGAAAAUGGCAGAACUUACACGGCCUGGAGAUGAAGAUGUAAAAAUGAGGAGACUGUGAAUUAUUUAGAUUGAUGUCAAAAGGAAUCUCACUCUCUCCCCAGCAGCACUCUCACUCCCUGUCCGCACCCCCCUGCACUUUCCCACUGAUCUCUAACAAUGAGAAUAAUAAUAAAAAAAAUGUGUAUCUGUAUUUGAGCAAAUAUUUAUAUCUAUCCCCCGCUAUAGUGCGAUAUUUAGUGGAGAAGUUGCGCCACAGCGUUAGAGGAAUUAUUAAUGAAACGCAGCUCCUGUCCCUUUUUGUUGUCUGGCAGGAUCAAUGCCUGUAAGAGUCCCAGCAGCACAGGCACCCUGUUAGAGACGCACAUGCCUUUCAGCGGCAGAAUCGCUGGCUGUGGCUGCCAUCUAGCGGACAGAAAGGGUGCGCAGUUUCCAGUGAAACAAGUCACAUCAGUGAGAGACAUUGAGGGGCACCGGCACCUUGCAACCCUGCAGGGGCUGAGCCCGAAUUUUUUCCUUAUUAACCGAGUGCUGGGGAGGAUAUUGGUGUGAGGGUGUCAGGCUAUGGGAUUCAUGGUUUAUUCCCCCUUCCGACCCGCGUUAAUUGCAGCACACAAAGGGUUAAUCAGUCGCCGGCCAAGGUGAAGCCAGAGGCAGCCAAACUGAGCUGAACUCCAGCAACCCCUGGCGCAAUGCGAGUGAGCGGGAUGUCUAUUCAUUAGUUUAUCAGCUGCCUCUUCCCUGGCUCUCAUUCAUUAGGAACAAGGGGAACACAUCAAAAAACACUCCCCAACUUUCCUGCUAUCCGUGUGGCUUGGCUGAGCUGGGGGAAGGGGCUGAUUUCUCCAUUAGUGACAGCUCCGGAUCAUUUCCAAGCGAAUGGUUCCCGGUUAUUUCUCUCCCCCGAAAUAAUGAAGAGAUUUUCCACGGGUCCGUGGCCAAGCGCCCCCAUUGUACGGGCAUUGAGAGAAAGGAUGUUAUUGACUAUGCAACAGUGGGUCGCCCUGCUCGCCCCUCGCCAAAUAAACUCGCCUCCUGUCUCCCGGCCGCUGAAAGGCUGAAACGAAUACGAUUAAAUGAGACAAAAAAAGAACGCAGCAGCCUGUGUGUGUGAAUCAUUUAGAUUUCGGGGCGAGGAGACAGAGGCAGCACUUGGGCUCCGGGCAGAGCGAUUCGGGGCGACUGGCUGCGCCUCACUGGGAGCUGCACUGCGCCUGGCGCUACUGGGAAGUGACUGCUGUCUGCCCGACACUUUACUGGCACUCUCUUCUCCUGGCACUGCUACAGCUCUGGCUCCAUUUCCAUUGCACUGACUGAGGAGUGGAAAUAUUUUGUUUGAACUCUAGUUGGUACAUUAAGGAAAAUAGUGGAAAUCCUAAAAUGGGAGAUGAAUACUAUGUGUUUGUAUCAAGAGGAGAUGAGGGAAGAAAAUACAGUAGGGGAAUCCUCUGGAAGGUCUUGGACCUUUUAAUCGUUGAAGGCAGCAAAAAACCUGUAUUUUCCUUCUGUUCUUCCACACAAUGGAUGCCUUUAUACCUCUGUACAAAGGCAAUAGAGGUAAUGGUAAUCUAAGCCACUAAGGAAGUGAGAUAACCGGAAGGAAUGCCUCCAAUCUGCCAUGUGAUGGGACAGAAGGAAGCAAAGCAGUACAGAAGAGCGCUGCAAUCCAGGCAAACCCUCACUCAGUCCUGGAGAGACUGUGGGGAAACUUUUGCAACACGAAAAUUACAACUUCAAGGGAUACACUCAAGGUCACCGAUGGGAGAGCAUUAUGUUGCAGAACAUGUCGGAUGCAGAUGUUUUGUGCCUUUGUACCAUAAUAUUGCUCACCUCUGUGGCUUUAUGUCUUAUUUUAUAAUGGGGUCUCAAAUAACUGGAGUUGACUGAAGUUGAUCAGAUGAUGUUCUUUACCAAUGCUGCCCAUCCCUACCCUAUAUUUGGAUCAUAGGCCAGCAGGACCAGAUGGAUCUUGGUACAUAAACUUGGAAAAGAAUAAAAACACAACAAUUAGAAAAUGUGUCUCCAGAUUUUUCUGAGUUUUGUAAACCUGCACCUUAUAUCUGUGCAGUCAUAUACAGCUGGUAAGUCAUUAAUAGAAGGCUGAUAAUGUUUCCCCAGCUUUGAUAUAGUCUGUACCCUAAUACUGGGAAAAGGAAAAGUGCAAUAAAACUCAAUACACUUAGAAGGGGAUUUAUCAAUGCUCAAAUUCACAUUUUUUUGUGCUAAAACUCCCAAAUUCAAAUUAUUGUUUGAAAUGUUUGAAAGGGGAAAAUAGCUGAAAACUUGAAUGUAAAAAAAGAAUGUGAGUUCAUGUAGAAGUCAAUGGGGGUUGUCCUAAAGAAACUUAAUGCAUUUUUUAAAUGAUAGCUUUUUAGUUUUUUCAAAACUUUUUGAGGGUUUAUAAACCCAUUGAAAAUGGUGGGUAGAAAAUGAAUUCGAUGCAUUUCAGUUUUUAAUAAAUAAGCAAACAUUCGAUUUGG
Molecule: long non-coding RNA, 2591 nt
Organism: Xenopus tropicalis (tropical clawed frog)
Lineage: Eukaryota; Metazoa; Chordata; Amphibia; Anura; Pipidae
Exons: 8
Source: RefSeq, a predicted model, not a curated record